RNAcentral lists this transfer RNA (72 nucleotides) under Dinophyceae sp. TGD. RNAcentral's name for it is "tRNA-Gln". It matches the Rfam family "tRNA". From Rfam's summary of the family: Transfer RNA (tRNA) molecules are approximately 80 nucleotides in length. Their secondary structure includes four short double-helical elements and three loops (D, anti-codon, and T loops). Further hydrogen bonds mediate the characteristic L-shaped molecular structure. tRNAs have two regions of fundamental functional importance: the anti-codon, which is responsible for specific mRNA codon recognition, and the 3' end, to which the tRNAs corresponding amino acid is attached (by aminoacyl-tRNA synthetases). tRNAs cope with the degeneracy of the genetic code in two manners: having more than one tRNA (with a specific anti-codon) for a particular amino acid; and 'wobble' base-pairing, i.e. permitting non-standard base-pairing at the 3rd anti-codon position. The record is from RNAcentral. Lineage: Eukaryota; Dinophyceae.
UGGGACGUCGCCAAGUGGUAAGGCUGUGGAUUUUGGUUCCACCAUUCAAAGGUUCGAGUCCUUUUGUCCCAG